RNAcentral lists this long non-coding RNA (337 nucleotides) under Mytilus galloprovincialis (Mediterranean mussel). Lineage: Eukaryota; Metazoa; Mollusca; Bivalvia; Mytilida; Mytilidae. The record is from RNAcentral.
GCGCCAUUAACGGAAGUCCCUUCUGCGUUGGUAAACAUUUCUCCUUUUCUGAUCCUCUUUUACCUCAUCUGUUAUUUGGUUUUACAGCAUUUGCUUACUCGUCCAGAGCACAUAAAAUCACCCUCAAUAUUGGUGGCGUUCAUGUUGCUUAGUCUUUUGUUUUGUGUGUUUUGUUUUGUGAACUAUUGUUUGUCUGUUUGUAUUUUUCUUUUUUUGCCAUUGCAAUGUCAGAUUAUUUUCUAAUUAUGAGUUUCAAUAUCCGUUUGGUAUAACUGCCUCUUUUACUAGGAUAUUUGAAUUAAGAAACUAAAUCAAGUAAACUUAUUUUUAUCUUGCG